RNAcentral lists this ribosomal RNA (440 nucleotides) under uncultured bacterium. RNAcentral's name for it is "bacterial SSU rRNA". It matches the Rfam family "Bacterial small subunit ribosomal RNA", at positions 338 to 770 of the family's 1533-position model. The record is from RNAcentral.
CCUACGGGUGGCACCAGUGGGGAAUUUUGGACAAUGGGCGAAAGCCUGAUCCAGCCAUGCCGCGUGCAGGAUGAAGGCCUUCGGGUUGUAAACUGCUUUUGUACGGAACGAAAAGGUCUUUUCUAAUAAAGAAGGCUCAUGACGGUACCGUAAGAAUAAGCACCGGCUAACUACGUGCCAGCAGCCGCGGUAAUACGUAGGGUGCAAGCGUUAAUCGGAAUUACUGGGCGUAAAGCGUGCGCAGGCGGUUAUAUAAGACAGAUGUGAAAUCCCCGGGCUCAACCUGGGAACUGCAUUAGUGACUGUAUAGCUAGAGUGCGGCAGAGGGGGAUGGAAUUCCGCGUGUAGCAGUGGAAUGCGUAGAUAUGCGGAGGAACACCGAUGGCGAAGGCAAUCCCCUGGGCCUGCACUGACGCUCAUGCACGAAAGCGUGGGGAGCA